CAAUAGCGUAUAUUAAAGUUGUUGCGGUAAAAAAGCUCGUAGUUGGAUUUCUACCGAAGAUAGCCGGUCGGGUCUUCGACCUUGUAUCUGGUUUUGUCUUUGGUAUCCUCAUAGGGAACGUUUCUGCGCUUUAUUGCGUGGUGCGGUAUCUAUGACUUUUACUUUGAGGAAAUUAGAGUGUUCACGGCAGGCAAACGCCUUGAAUAUAUUAGCAUGGAAUAAUAACAUAGGAUCUUCGUCCUAUUUUGUUGGUUUCUAGGGCUAAGAUAAUGAUUAAUAGGGAUAAUUGGGGGCAUCUGUAUCAACGCGUCAGGGGUGGAAUUCUUGGAUUGCGUUGCGACAAACUACUGCGAAAGCAUUUGCCAAGGAUGUUUUCAUUGA
RNAcentral lists this ribosomal RNA (381 nucleotides) under uncultured eukaryote. Its description in RNAcentral is "partial 18S ribosomal RNA". It matches the Rfam family "Eukaryotic small subunit ribosomal RNA", at positions 592 to 976 of the family's 1831-position model. The record is from RNAcentral.